AUACGGGGGGGGCAAGCGUUGUUCGGAAUUACUGGGCGUAAAGGGCGUGUAGGCGGCCCUGCAAGUCUUUCGUGAAAUCCCACAGCUUAACUGUGGAACUGCGAGGGAAACUGCAGGACUUGAGUCCGGGAGAGGAGAGUGGAAUUCCCAGUGUAGCGGUGAAAUGCGUAGAUAUUGGGAGGAACACCGGUGGCGAAGGCGGCUCUCUGGACCGGAACUGACGCUGAGGCGCGAAAGCUAGGGGAGCAAACGGGAUUAGAAACCCCGGUAGUCC
RNAcentral lists this ribosomal RNA (274 nucleotides) under uncultured bacterium. Its description in RNAcentral is "partial 16S ribosomal RNA". It matches the Rfam family "Bacterial small subunit ribosomal RNA", at positions 523 to 796 of the family's 1533-position model. The record is from RNAcentral.